RNAcentral lists this ribosomal RNA (482 nucleotides) under uncultured bacterium. RNAcentral's name for it is "bacterial SSU rRNA". It matches the Rfam family "Bacterial small subunit ribosomal RNA", at positions 29 to 507 of the family's 1533-position model. The record is from RNAcentral.
AUGAACGCUAGCGGCAGGCUUUAACACAUUGCAAGUCGAGGGGUAGAAGCAGCUUGCUGCUUUGAGACCGGCGCACGGGUGCGUAACGCGUAUGCAAUCUACCUUUUUACAGAGGGAUAGCCCAGAGAAAUUUGGAUUAAUACCUCAUAGUAUGUGAGAAUCGCAUGGUUUUCACAUUAAAGUUCCAACGGUAAAAGAUAAGCAUGCGUCCCAUUAGCUAGAUGGUAAGGUAACGGCUUACCAUGGCGACGAUGGGUAGGGGUCCUGAGAGGGAGAUCCCCCACACUGGUACUGAGACACGGACCAGACUCCUACGGGAGGCAGCAGUGAGGAAUAUUGGACAAUGGGCGCAAGCCUGAUCCAGCCAUGCCGCGUGCAGGAUGACGGUCCUAUGGAUUGUAAACUGCUUUUGUACAGGAAGAAACACUCCCUCGUGAGGGAGCUUGACGGUACUGUAAGAAUAAGGAUCGGCUAACUCCGUG